Molecule: long non-coding RNA, 5862 nt
Filed under: Triticum aestivum (bread wheat)
Lineage: Eukaryota; Viridiplantae; Streptophyta; Magnoliopsida; Poales; Poaceae
Description: long non-coding RNA (TAES_LNC003365)
Source: RNAcentral
AAGCACAUUUCUUAUAUACUAUUUGGGCACACAAAUUCACCUUUUAUUGAGAUAUAUCCAUCCAUUCUUGCUAUGACUUUUUGAAUAUUCGAAUGAUAAUCAUAAAAGAGAAUGUUGACUAGUGAAUUGUUUAUUUUGCAGAAAAGUGCGCAAAGGCACUAUAAUCGUCAAGACUUCUACUAUGUGGCUAACGAGAAGAGAGAAGGGCAUGAAAGAAAUACGUCAAGGCUUGAGCGUGAAGGAAAGAAGUAAUGUAGGGGAGCAAACUAAAAGAAGAGGAGGAUCUUCUUGGGAAGAAAGAAGAAAGGAGGAGGGCCAAAGUAAAAAAAGACAGAACAGAGGAGGGGAUCAAAAAUCCCUAGCGCAGCCGAUCCCCAUCAGGCCUGCAUCUCACCUCUCUCCCUCACCCCUCCUUCUCCACCACCGGCCGUCGCCGCGGCCAGGCCGGCGUGGCGGUGCGCCUGCUGCUCCUCCACUCAGCCACGAGCACCAUCCGCCGCACCAUCCAUCCAUCCCAGCCGCGCCGUGCCAUCCAUCCACCACUCCACCAGCGUCACUAGCUCCACUUCACCACCGCGCCUCACCAGCGCCCACCUCGCGCGCCCCUCCUGCCGCUUCCUCUCUGAACCCGCUGUUGCUGCUGCAUCUUCCUUCUUCCUCUCGACCUCCUGUUGCUCUUCUCCAAGCACCGCUGCUGCUCCUUCCUUGCAACCCCCCUGCUGUUGUUCAUCCUCUCCACCUCCUUGCGCCUCCCUGCCGGUACCCUUCUCUGCUCAAAACUGCUGCUGCUUGUGCACUCCAGCUUCUCCUUCUUCUCCUGCCUACUGCUGGUUCUUCUUCCCCACAUCACUUUUGCUGCUCCUCUUCUCUGCCUCGCUACUGUUCUUCUUACCUGAACCUCAAAAUUGCUGCUGUUCUCUUCUAAACAACAAAACUGCUGCUACUACUACCUCAACCUCCUAUUGCUUUCUUUCUUUCUCACUCUCUUUUAAAUUUCUGUAAGAUUGAGACGCAUGUGAUUUGUAUUAUUCAGAUUUGAUAAGUGUUAGUAAUCUACUGUUGUUCAGUUCAGACUUCCUGUGUGUGUUAAUUAGUUAAAAUUGUCACUUGUGUACUGCUUGUUGCAGAUUCUUGCUCAUUUUUGUUGUCUAUGUGUUAGCUCAUGCAUCUGAGAAUUAUAAAGACAUAUGUGUGUGUGGUUGAUGUGAAACAAUUAUAUAUAUGUCUCAUGUUUGUUAGUUAGUGGUUUGUAUAAAUUCAGAUUACUACUUGUGAUUUAAUUUUGUAUUGAAAUUGUUCUCUGUGGUAGUCAGUUGUGUGAUCAUUCAAUUUUCAGUCUAUGUAUUAGCUCUGUACCUGUAAUAUAUGUUGUGACAUGAAGCAUUUUCAUCCUUGUCCAUUAUCUUGUUUCUUCACUCUGUCAUACGCUUGUUAGAUAAAUAUAUGUGUUCAUGUCCUGUUGUUCCCUUUUGUGUUAGCAUUUUAGUUUCUCAAGUAACAGGAAAACACCAAAAAAGACAAUAUAGACAAUCUGAACCUCCCCUUUGCUUAUUUUACAUUUUCUUUGGCGACGAUCUUCGGGAACUACCUUGUUAGUUUAGGUUUAUUUUCUUGCAUUUAUAAUCUGAGUUCUGUCACCUAGCUUUAGCCGAGCAUUGUUGCUGUCGCCUAGUCCCUGUGGAGAACACGACACUCACAGUUCGGGUGAAAUAUCCCGCAGUACUUUCAAUCGAUCAUUUUGGCGCCGUUGCCGGGGACUAGCGUCGUGUGACCGUGUUAGGCUAUAGACUAGGUUUUGCUUCUGUUUCUAUCUGGUGCCAUAUAUUUGUGAUAUAUCUCUUACCCCUAACCACUGUUCUAGUUAUCUUCUCUUUCUUUUCUUGUUCAUUUUGUAGGUUGAAUUGUCUUCUCGGAUAUGGCUUACUAUUCAGAUCAUCAUGCUUAUGCGAGCAACACUACAAACAACACGGAAAGUAUUCAAGAACUGAUAAGUAAGAUUUCCCAUCAAUUAGAUGAUUUAGCUCAGCAGCGAGGAGUAGUUUUUGAGGAUAGGCCUAGUUCUUAUUAUCCUUAUUCCGGAAGCAAUCCUUAUGUUGCUCCUACAUGCCAUAUUUGUGGAUUUCAGGGCCAUUCGCCCGCUGAAUGUCAGCGUGGUUACUCUCACACUCCAGAUUGUUUUGGCAUGAGCUUCGCUCAAGAGCAUAGCUCAUACCAAAACAAUUACUCACAUGGGUGUCCUGAAAACCCGAAUAUGUCAUAUAGGAGCAACAACCCCGAGAUCUCACCGCUUGCUUCUAGUAAUCAUAUGCAGGGAUUUAGGUAUGAAGAGGAGAGCCACAGCUAUGCUCCACAACAGUCUUAUUCAGCUCCUAUUCAUAUACCUCAGCACGAGGAGAUGUUGCCAAUGGAGUUAAAUGGUCCUCCAUUUGGUCAACCAACACCUUCAACACAAGUGCCUACUCAAGAUGAGUUUGAUGACAUAGACAAGUUCACACUUUUGAGUCUUGAGUUCAGUUGGAGUGCCGAGGAUGAUCCUAUUAGGAAGGUUAUACUAGAUGAAAUGAAGAAGAUCAAGAGUGGGAAUGAGCUAGUGGAAGAAGUAAAGAAGAUUGAGAAGAACAUCAACGCUGGCAGCUCUAUUUCUUCACAGCUAGAGCUGAGUGUUGCUGAGAUUCCCCUUGAUACAUGUGAGGUUCCAACACCUUCACAUUUCGUUGAGCAAGUUAGCAAGUGCCUUGAGCAAGAGAUACCUCAGAUUGAAGAAGAUGAACUAGAAGACAAGGACCAAGAUGGUCAAGAGCUGCAAUUCCCAAGUGAUCAAGUUGAAGACUCAUCAUCUACUACUGAAGAACUACAAGAAGCUGCUGUAGAUAAAGAUGAAGAUCAUGAGAUUCAUUUGCCUAUUGUCAUACCAGAGCGUGAUGUGUCAGGUUUACUCAAUCCUCUUGAUGACAUGAUGCCUUGUGAUUUCUUUGCUACUACCUUGCUUUACAUGAUACUAUCACUUAAGAUUGAUUUGAAAACUCAUUUGCUUGGAUAUGAUGAUAUAUACCCUGUUAGUGGUAUUACUCUCAUUUGUGAUGAUCAUAGUUACUUUCCUCGUGCUAAUCCUAUGCUUAAUGAAACAUAUCACUCCCAUGCUAGUCUUGCACUUAAUGAUAAAUGUCAUCCUCGUGUGAGUAUUGACCAUGCUGAUUUCUGCCAUCCUAAACAUGUGCUUUAUAGUUAUGCUUAUAUAAUUGGAUAUUCCAUUGAUGACUUGGAGGGCAUCGACCGUAUCACUUGUAGUUGUUUGUGUGAGUCCUAUUUCAGGCUUUUGCUACUGCACUGUUUACUACAUGCUGACCAGGUUUGAGGUGACAUUCCUUGGGAUCCUGGUGGAGUCACAGCAUGGCGAUGAGGGGAGCACAAACAGGGAACACAAACAGAGAAGAGUGGAGAGAAGAAAGUAGGAGAGAAGAGUAUACAAAUACCAGGUGAUUCUGUUCCACUUGAAGCAACCUUUAGAAAAUUUAGUACGAGAACUGGCAUUUUAUUGCAUUGAAACGCUUUUUGCAUUGUGACACCUUACUCUUCACUGCAAAGUAGGAUUCACUCCAAGAAGAUUGUUGAUUCUCUUAAUACUAAAACUAUGCAGCAGUAUUCUUCUUAUGGUAAUUUGUGAUAAUGAAUACUUUAUACCUCCAUGUAAAUGUUCAAUGGGAAUGCCUUGAGUCUAAGUGAAACCUACUAAUGAAUUGAUGUGCUGUGUCUGACUGUCCCACGUUAAGCUAAGUAACUGGUGGCACUUAAGUAGUAGCUAUGAUCUCUGGAUCUGUAGUAUGUGAAAAACAGUGCCAUUAGUUAUGGAUUCCUCUUUCAAUUAUUCCUGUUUUACUUAAGCUAAGUAAUUUUCAAAUAACUAAAUAAAAUAAUUAUAAUAUUUUAAGUCCGAUCGACCUAUAGUAGCAUGUCAUGUUCCCUGGAUCGGUGGCUUGUGAAAUCUGGUAGAUUGGACUCUAAAAAAAAAUUAUAUAAAAAUGCUAUAAUUUGUCGAACCAGGUGUAUACCAUGUUCUCGGGAUCGGUGGUAUGUUCCUUUGGGGAGAUAACAAAAAAAUAUACUAAUAAUUUGGUCGAGCCAGGUGUAUACCAUGUUCUCGGGAUCGGUGGUAUGUUCCUUUGGUGAGACUGAUAUAAUAUCAUCACUUGUGCUUUAAAUUCAAUAAGUAACUUGUUUUUCUAAUUGAUUUUGGGGUCCCAGCUUAUCUCAGGGCUGAAGACAGAGCCAGCUCUUGAUUAUUAGUAUUCACUUUGACUCAAGGCCAUUGACUUGGAACAUUUACAGUGUGUUAUAAAAUAUUUCUUAUCACAAUUUAGCUUCAGUAGAGUACAUUUGCUUAGUUCCAGUAUUGUCGGAAUUACUAUCUAUCGGAAAGUGCAUAUUUACUAGGCAGUGUGAGUUGUGUCACCAUCAAAUUUUUUUUCCUUUGCUCGAGGACAAGCAAAGAUUUAAGUGUGGGGGAACUUGAUAAGCACAUUUCUUAUAUACUAUUUGGGCACACAAAUUCACCUUUUAUUGAGAUAUAUCCAUCCAUUCUUGCUAUGACUUGUUGAAUAUUUGAAUGAUAACCAUAAAAGAGAAUGUUGACUAGUGAAUUGUUUAUUUUGCAGAAAAGUGCGCAAAUGCACUAUAAUCGUCAAGACUUCUACUAUGUGGCUAACGAGAAGAGAGAAGGGCAUGAAAGAAAUACGUCAAGGCUUGAGCGUGAAGGAAAGAAGUAAUGUAGGGGAGCAAACUAAAAGAAGAGGAGGAUCUUCUUGGGAAGAAAGAAGAAAGGAGGAGGGCCAAAGUAAAAAAAGACAAAACAGAGGAGGGGAUCAAAAAUCCCUAGCGCAGCCGAUCCCCAUCAGGCCUCGCAUCUCACCUCUCUCCCUCACCCCUCCUUCUCCACCACCGGCCGUCGCCGCGGCCAGGCCGGCGUGGCGGUGCGCCUGCUGCUCCUCCACUCAGCCACGAGCACCAUCCGCCGCACCAUCCAUCCAUCCCAGCCGCGCCGCGCCAUCCAUCCACCACUCCACCAGCGUCACCAGCUCCACUUCACCACCGCGCCUCCACCAGCGCCCACCUCGCGCGCCCCUCCUGCCGCUUCCUCUCUGAACCUGCUAUUGCUGCUGCAUCUUCCUUCUUCCUCUUGACCUCCUGUUGCUCUUCUCCAAGCACCGCUGCUGCUCCUUCCUUGCAACCCCCCUGUUGUUGUUCAUCCUCUCCACCUCCUUGCGCCUCCCUGCCGGUACCCUUCUCUGCUGAAAACUGCUGCUGCUUGUGCGCUCCAGCUGCUCCUUCUUCUCCUGCCUACUGCUAGUUCUUCUUCCCCACAUCACUUUUGCUGCUCCUCUUCUCUGCCUCGCUACUGUUCUUCUUACCUGAACCUCAAAAUUGUUGCUGUUCUCUUCUAAACAACAAAACUGCUGCUACUACUACCUCAACCUCCUGUUGCUUUCUUUCUUUCUCACUCUCUUUGAAAUUUCUGUAAGAUUGAGACGCAUAUGAUUUGUAUUAUUCAGAUUUGAUAAGUGUUAGUAAUCUACUGUUGUUCAGUUCAGACUUCCUGUGUGUGUUAAUUAGUUAAAAUUGUCACUUCUGUACUGCUUGUUGCAGAUUCUUGAUCAUUUUUGUUAUCUAUGUGUUAGCUCAUGCAUCUGAGAAUUAUAAAGACUGUGUGGUUGAUGUGAAACAAUUAUAUAUAUGUCUCCUGUUUGUUAGUUAGUGGUUUGUAUAAAUUCGGAUUACUACUUGUGAUUUAAUUUUGUAUUGAAAUUGUUCUCUGUGGUAGUCAGUUGUGUGAUCAUUCAAUUUUCAGUCUAUGUAUUAGCUCUGUAC